Molecule: ribosomal RNA, 497 nt
Filed under: uncultured bacterium
Lineage: Bacteria
Description: partial 16S ribosomal RNA
Rfam family: Bacterial small subunit ribosomal RNA
Source: RNAcentral
GAUGAACGCUGGCGGCGUGCCUAAUACAUGCAAGUCGAGCGAACAGACGAGGAGCUUGCUCCUCUGACGUUAGCGGCGGACGGGUGAGUAACACGUGGAUAACCUACCUAUAAGACUGGGAUAACUUCGGGAAACCGGAGCUAAUACCGGAUAAUAUAUUGAACCGCAUGGUUCAAUAGUGAAAGACGGUUUUGCUGUCACUUAUAGAUGGAUCCGCGCCGCAUUAGCUAGUUGGUAAGGUAACGGCUUACCAAGGCAACGAUGCGUAGCCGACCUGAGAGGGUGAUCGGCAACACUGGAACUGAGACACGGUCCAGACUCCUAAGGGAGGCAGCAGUAGGGAAUCUUCCGCAAUGGGCGAAAGCCUGACGGAGCAACGCCGCGUGAGUGAUGAAGGUCUUCGGAUCGUAAAACUCUGUUAUUAGGGAAGAACAAAUGUGUAAGUAACUAUGCACGUCUUGACGGUACCUAAUCAGAAAGCCACGGCUAACUACGUG